UGCACACGAGCCCCAGAACUGAGACCU
RNAcentral lists this non-coding RNA (27 nucleotides) under Mus musculus (house mouse). Lineage: Eukaryota; Metazoa; Chordata; Mammalia; Rodentia; Muridae. The record is from RNAcentral.